RNAcentral lists this ribosomal RNA (497 nucleotides) under uncultured bacterium. Its description in RNAcentral is "partial 16S ribosomal RNA". It matches the Rfam family "Bacterial small subunit ribosomal RNA", at positions 28 to 507 of the family's 1533-position model. The record is from RNAcentral.
GAUGAACGCUGGCGGCGUGCCUAAUACAUGCAAGUCGAGCGAACAGACGAGGAGCUUGCUCCUCUGACGUUAGCGGCGGACGGGUGAGUAACACGUGGAUAACCUACCUAUAAGACUGGGAUAACUUCGGGAAACCGGAGCUAAUACCGGAUAAUAUAUUGAACCGCAUGGUUCAAUAGUGAAAGACGGUUUUGCUGUCACUUAUAGAUGGAUCCGCGCCGCAUUAGCUAGUUGGCAAGGUAACGGCUUACCAAGGCAACGAUGCGUAGCCGACCUGAGAGGGUGAUCGGCCACACUGGAACUGAGACACGGUCCAGACUCCUACGGGAGGCAGCAGUAGGGAAUCUUCCGCAAUGGGCGAAAGCCUGACGGAGCAACGCCGCGUGAAUGAUGAAGGUCUUCGGAUCGUAAAACUCUGUUAUUAGGGAAGAACAAAUGUGUAAGUAACUAUGCACGUCUUGACGGUACCUAAUCAGAAAGCCACGGCUAACUACGUG